This 819-nucleotide long non-coding RNA is filed under the name Homo sapiens (human). RNAcentral describes it as "long independently transcribed non-coding RNA 1533 (LINC01533)". The record is from RNAcentral. Lineage: Eukaryota; Metazoa; Chordata; Mammalia; Primates; Hominidae.
AAUCAUUUAUUAAGCAUUGCCCUGGCCUAAGACACCACAUGGGUCAUUUCUUCCAGGCUCCAACUUGCUUCUGCUUUGCCAUAUGGUAACACGCCGUAUUAUGGAAGCACCAUCAUUACCGCCAUUUGCAGGGGAAGCCUAAAGAGAUAAAUGCCAGCCAGCAUCCCUGUCUCUGGGGCCCUGGAGAGGCCUUCAACACACCUGGCCUCACUGCCCUGUGGCUUCAACAAAGAGGCCGAGCAUCUCCUAUAAACCUUGAGGUCCAUGGAUGACAUAGCGGAAUGAUGGAUUUCAGAAAAGGCAGGUGCUUCCCACUCUUUAAAUUUUUGUUUAUUCUUUCCAAGUUUCCCAUCAACAGCCCUGCAGUAAAAAUUCAGGGCUUCAGAGACAAAUAUUUCAUGAGUACAGACUGUGAUGAGGAAAAGCAAGCCAUUCCCUCUCUAUCAGGAUCCAGAGCACACUGCUGUUACGACUCCAGAACCGAUAAGGAAGCUAUGUGUGGAAGUAUGAGCUCAGGUCGCCUUCUGACCCUCUGUGACGGUCUAUUUCAGGCAGUUAUGGAUAGAUAACAUUACAGACACUGGUAAUUAAAACAACACUAAUUUUGUCUCUGUGGUCACGCUUUGUUGUUAGAAGCCAUCUAUCAUGGCCUUCACGCAUCACGCAAUGAGAAGACAUUUGUCUACGUACAUUGUGCUUGGUCAACGGUUUUACGGAUUUCCCCGCGUACCUGGACACCCAGGCACUUUUAAAGACGUACUGCCUUCAUUUCUACUCUAUUACUCUGAUUAAUAAAACAUUUUGCAUGCUUCAUCAAAA